UCUCAUAGCUUUGAAUCUUCCUAAUUUCUCUGGGCGUUAUAACCCCUUGUCUUUUUUCCAUACUCUAAAGAUUGUAUCCCUGGCCCCCCAAAUAUUCCUGAUGACGACUUUGGGUAAACACGAAAACAAAUCAUUUUAUUGUUCUAUAUAGAGUAGCUGGUAUUUCUGGAUAAAUGCAUAAACAAAGAGGAAUUACAAACUGACCUUGAUCUGCCAGAUUAUCAGUGAGGACUGACCUGCUUUUGUUAGUGCCAAGCUGUAGAGUAGAGGUUCUCUGAAUAGACCCUGAAGUACAGAUUCAGGGUACAUUCUUCUCAGUUUAACUGGGGGAGAUUCCAUUUUUUUCUUUUUGUGUUUUGAGAGACGGUGGGAGGUAGGAUGGGAAUAUUAACUGCUUUAUGAAGAGAAUUUAAAUAUAGUUACUGAGAGAUGAACACCAAGGGAGAAAAGAGAUUCUACAAUUUGUAGUGACUCUAUUUCCACGUAAAGUGUUUUAAGACUGCUUUUCCUAAAAUUUCCCUGUGAAGUGCAGUUUUUCUUAAAAGUUAUAUAGUUUUUCUUCAGAUUUAAAAAAUCAAUUUCCCUGAUGUCAUUUGGAUUUUGGACUGUUUCAUGACUAUCAUUUGAAAGGAUAUUAUUAAAUAGGCUACAUUAAAAAAUCAAGUUUUACUUGAAAUCAAAUCACUGUAUCAUCCUCAUGUGAAAAUAUACAUUCAGUUAACAAAUAUCCAAAGUAGAUAAAACUAGCUCAAUUUAUUGAGGGUUAUUGCCACUUUACGGAGUUGAUGUUACAUUCUUCCAUAGAUUCUAUUAGUAUCUACAAUCUUGCUUUAUGUUAAGAUGUGAAAUAUCAGUAUGAUGUAACAGCAGUGCAAGAAUAUCCUCAUCUUCAACACAGCCUCAGUUCAGCCUUUGCUGAUCCACUUUCUAGAUCCUAGUGAAAAAGGGGAAGAUAAUUUGGGGAUUAUUUUUUUGACAAUUUUUUUUUUUUUUGGCUUUUUUUGCUAUUUCUUGGGCCGCUCCUGCGGCAUAUGGAGGUUCCCAGGCUAGGGAUCUAAUCGGAGCUGCAGCCACCGGCCUACACCAGAGCCACAGCAACGUGGGAUCCGAGCCGCGUCUGCAACCUACACCACAGCUCACGGCAACGCCGGAUCGUUAACCCACUGUGCAAGGGCAGGGACCGAACCCGCAACUUCAUGGUUCCUAGUCGGAUUCGUUAACCACUGCGCCACGACGGGAACUCCACAAAUUUUAAUUUUUAUGUGAACUUCAUAAUAUCUGAAACACUGGAAAUGUGUGGAAAAAUCACACCUUUAUAUUUCUCAACAUUUUUGUGAUAACGGCCCACUCAGAGAUUGGAUUUUCAGUUUGAUAUAAGAAGGAAGAUAGGAACUUUAUCUGUUACUUUAAAUGCUAAAGAAUUUCAAACUAAAGUUCUUGUCUAGAGUCACCAAAUUAAGAACAACGCCCAUUAAUAUUCAUUGAAAGAAUAUUGUACUAAGUGCAUUGUCAUUAUAGAAAGAUUUGAUGCUCACUAGCAUGAAAAAUAAAUUUUGUGUUCAAAAACAUUUACGAAUAUAUUUUUAAAAAUUAAGAGACUUUUAUAGAGGAUAAUUUUAUGUCCACAGGCUUGCUUUUUAAAUUUUAUUUAUUUUUUAUAACUUAGAAAUGCUUUGGAUCUGUUAGACUAAUAGCGUUGUGAACUCCAUUCAAUUCUCUAUGUCCUUUCACAUCCAUGUAGUAGCUAAGAUCAAGUCGACAUAGCUAAGAUUGGUACAAAGAUAAGUUCAUAGUUUUUUAAAGGUCUGUUAGAGGUCAUUAAAGUCAGAUUUACUUUAAAUUUCUGUUUUGCUUUACCUAAUUUUGUUGAUUGUGCAGAAACAGACAAUCAACAAAGCAGAAGAGAUUAUCUUUGAAGGAUGCGACAAUAUAAAUGUAAAUAUUGUGAUACAACAGCUAUAGUUCACAGAUGGGUGUGAACAGGUUGAGACUGAUAAUGUUUUUACUAUUUAAUAAUGGCUUUACUAUAGGAUAGUAGUGAACAUGACCAUACAUUUGCAGUAUUUCCUCCUAAGACCCUCACAUCAUCUUGGUGUACCAAGAUGGAGAAUGGGAGUGACUUGGUGAUAGAGAAAGAGGCAGUGGUAGAUAACCAUGAUGCUUGUGUGGAAUACAAGCAGCAGCUCUGCCAAAAUACUGUUAGUAUGAGAGUGGUAGGGACAUUGGCCUGGUGAGUGUCUUUUAUUUUGUAGUGACAGUUCUCUGUUCUAUAGAGGGAAGAGAUACCAUUGGACUAAUUUAGAUUUUGAUUUUUUGAAGUGUCCUGAAGCAGCAAGACAAAUGGUAGGAAUCAAGGGACCAAAGCUUUCAUCAAAGCCAUGCCCCUGUUUUAGAGAUGAGCAAGUUACUUCUCUUGCAGCUUAGUAUUUUCAUCUGUGGAUUGAGAAAUUGGAACCACAUCCAUUCUUUGAUAAUACGCUGUAGAAGGUUCUUAUGGAUGAUGGCAAACUGCAUAAAUGGCAUUUUUCUUCUCACUUUCCACCUAAAGAUGUUUUAUAACGCAGUCAGUAUAACAUUAACUGCGUACUCUUAAAACACCUUUUACUAAAAUUUAAUUUUUUAUAUCGACUCAUGAAUUAUUCAGUAGUUUAUACGUGUUGAGAUUUUUAUUCUGAUAUAUGUAUCUAUAUAAAUUUCAGUUGUAUUG
This 2707-nucleotide long non-coding RNA is filed under the name Sus scrofa (pig). RNAcentral describes it as "lncRNA (ENSSSCG00065026279.1)". The record is from RNAcentral. Lineage: Eukaryota; Metazoa; Chordata; Mammalia; Artiodactyla; Suidae.